ACUAUGACUCUCUUAUACCAAAGAGCCACCACUGCCUUUGGAGGGUCACAAUAGCGGCGCGAAAGCGAAUGAUAUAACCGCUAGUGCGUCCGUCGCCAGCCCCCCUGUUUGUGGAUCACAUAAUGCUGUGGACGGACACGCGACACCAUCAAAUUGCGGGGACACCCUGAGAGCCUUGUCUACCAAGUCGCCUGCGGAAACGCACUGGCGAUGGCCGAGUUAAUCGCCCUGGGUACGGUAACAACGACAAGGAUGCAUGGGCAAUCCGCAGCCAAGUCCUACGUCGGACCGCGCACGUUCGAUAUGGAUGCUGUUCAUCGACUAAAUGGUGGUGGGUGAUCGCGCGCGUAUGCGAUUGCUUAAGAUAUAGUCAGGCCCUGGCGAGAGCCAGCUGCAUGUAUAAGAGGGGGACGCCGGGGGGACGUUCGACUCCAAGCUUGCAGGAGGGCGCUGUUUACUUGUCGUAGCAGCGCCUUUGGAAGGCGCUUCAUAUUUAGGAAUGAAGCCGUCACUUAAGCGCCAGAAUAAAAGAUGUUGGGGUCGUUGAACAUGUCAGUUGGCACAAUGUGGUCCAACUCAUCGUCUCCUAAGGUCGAAGGACAUGUCCGAUGUCGUCGUCCUGAAUGGGAUUGCCGAUUACAGUCCCCGUUCAGAGCGCAUUGUUCAGGAUAUCAGUGGCUUUGUUGCCGAUGUUGUUCUUGAUCAUCCGCACGCCACGUCCUG
RNAcentral lists this unclassified non-coding RNA (723 nucleotides) under Plasmodiophora brassicae. Its description in RNAcentral is "partial miscellaneous RNA". The stretch from base 97 to 393 matches the Rfam family "Group I catalytic intron". Lineage: Eukaryota; Endomyxa; Phytomyxea; Plasmodiophorida; Plasmodiophoridae. The record is from RNAcentral.